UACGUAGGGGGCAAGCGUUGUCCGGAUUUAUUGGGCGUAAAGAGCGUGUAGGCGGCCAGGUAGGUCAGCUGUGAAAACUCGAGGCUCAACCUCGAGACGCCGGUUGAAACCAUCUGGCUAGAGUCCGGAAGAGGAGAGUGGAAUUCCUGGUGUAGCGGUGAAAUGCGCAGAUAUCAGGAGGAACACCGGUGGCGAAGGCGGGUCUCUGGGCCGAUAUUGACGCUGAGGAGCGAAAGCGUGGGGAGCGAACAGG
RNAcentral lists this ribosomal RNA (253 nucleotides) under uncultured bacterium. RNAcentral's name for it is "partial 16S ribosomal RNA". It matches the Rfam family "Bacterial small subunit ribosomal RNA", at positions 524 to 776 of the family's 1533-position model. The record is from RNAcentral.